UGGAUUUUCCUCAGAAGAAUGCGCCGGCGUGAUAUUCAGUGGAGGAUAUAGACGGAGGCUGCAUCACUGGCAUAAUUGCACAAGAAAGGCACACGUGUCGUUCAGUUUUGAGUUUGCUGGAAAAUCAUACUGAGACUGAAUACACCACUCUUCCCUUCACCUACAUCUCUCACAGUAAGGGGAUGCUCGUUCAGUUUUCAACUCCAUUCAGAAUCUUAGAGUAAGUGUGCAUUCACUAUU
Molecule: long non-coding RNA, 240 nt
Organism: Sinocyclocheilus grahami
Lineage: Eukaryota; Metazoa; Chordata; Actinopteri; Cypriniformes; Cyprinidae
Exons: 3
Source: RefSeq, a predicted model, not a curated record